AUUGAACGCUGGCGGCAGGCCUAACACAUGCAAGUCGAGCGGAUGAAGGGAGCUUGCUCCUGGAUUCAGCGGCGGACGGGUGAGUAAUGCCUAGGAAUCUGCCUGGUAGUGGGGGAUAACGUCCGGAAACGGGCGCUAAUACCGCCUACGUCCUGAGGGAGCAAGUUGGGGGUCUUCGGCCUGCUGGCAUGCAGAGGGCCUUGGUAGGGUUAGGCUGGUGGGUGGGUGAAGGGCUGGCAAAGCCACGAAUCGUAACUAGACCGGGAGGGUGAACAGUCACGCAGUAACUGAGACACUGUUCAGACUCCGACGGGAGGCAGGAGUGGGGAAUGUAGGACAAUGGGCGAAAGCCUGAACCAGCCGUGCCGCGUGUAUGAAGAAGGUCUUCGGAUUGUAGAGCACUUUACGUUGGGUGGAAGGGCAGUAAGUUAAUACCUGCCUGUUUGGACGUAACCAGCAGAAUAAGCACCGGCUAACUUCGU
RNAcentral lists this ribosomal RNA (482 nucleotides) under uncultured bacterium. Its description in RNAcentral is "partial 16S ribosomal RNA". It matches the Rfam family "Bacterial small subunit ribosomal RNA", at positions 30 to 506 of the family's 1533-position model. The record is from RNAcentral.